This 497-nucleotide ribosomal RNA is filed under the name uncultured bacterium. RNAcentral describes it as "partial 16S ribosomal RNA". It matches the Rfam family "Bacterial small subunit ribosomal RNA", at positions 28 to 507 of the family's 1533-position model. The record is from RNAcentral.
GAUGAACGCUGGCGGCGUGCCUAAUACAUGCAAGUCGAGCGAACGGACGAGAAGCUUGCUUCUCUGAUGUUAGCGGCGGACGGGUGAGUAACACGUGGAUAACCUACCUAUCAGACUGGGAUCACUUCGGGAAACCGGAGCUAAUACCGGAUAAUAUUUUGAACCGCAUGGUUCAAAAGUGAAAGACGGUCUUGCUGUCACUUAUAGAUGGAUCCGCGCUGCAUUAGCUAGUUGGUAAGGUAACGGCUUACCAAGGCAACGAUGCAUAGCCGACCUGAGAGGGUGAUCGGCCGCCCGGGAACUGGGACACGCUCAAGACUCCUACGGGAGGCAGCAGUAGGGAAUCUGCCGCAAUGGGCGAAAGCCUGACGGAGCAACGCCGCGUGAGUGAUGAAGGUCUUCGGAUCGUAAAACUCUGUUAUUAGGGAAGAACAUAUGUGUAAGUAACUGUGCACAUCUUGACGGUACCUAAUCAGAAAGCCACGGCUAACUACGUG